This 506-nucleotide ribosomal RNA is filed under the name uncultured bacterium. RNAcentral's name for it is "partial 16S ribosomal RNA". It matches the Rfam family "Bacterial small subunit ribosomal RNA", at positions 29 to 523 of the family's 1533-position model. The record is from RNAcentral.
AGUGAACGCUGGCGGUAGGCCUAACACAUGCAAGUCGAACGGCAGCACAGGAGAGCUUGCUCUCUGGGUGGCGAGUGGCGGACGGGUGAGGAAUACAUCGGAAUCUACUUUUUCGUGGGGGAUAACGUAGGGAAACUUACGCUAAUACCGCAUACGACCUACGGGUGAAAGCAGGGGACCUUCGGGCCUUGCGCGAUUGAAUGAGGCGAUGUCGGAUUAGCUAGUGGGCGGGGUAAAGGCCCACCAAGGCGACGAUCCGUAGCUGGUCUGAGAGGAUGAUCAGCCACACUGGAACUGAGACACGGUCCAGACUCCUACGGGAGGCAGCAGUGGGGAAUAUUGGACAAUGGGCGCAAGCCUGAUCCAGCCAUACCGCGUGGGUGAAGAAGGCCUUCGGGUUGUAAAGCCCUUUUGUUGGGAAAGAAAUCCAGCUGGCUAAUACCCGGUUGGGAUGACGGUACCCAAAGAAUAAGCACCGGCUAACUUCGUGCCAGCCGCCGCAGUAA